GGAAGAGAGCUGUGCCUUUACAGCUUGUGCUUCGGAUACCACAGCAACAAGAAAGCAGGAGAACCAGUAUGACUGACACCGUAAAUACUGGUGUUCAGCCCUGAAUGCAGCAAACUCUGGCGAAGCAAACUGAGGCCCAUUGUCACUUACUAGAGUUGUUGGGUUGCCAUGUCUACUGAAGACAGAGUGAUGAGCCUGUAUUUCUGAAAGUCCUUGGGCCCCAGCUUAUCAUCUCUGGUCAGUCUGCUCACUUUAACUUCAGGAUACUUCAACUUAACAAGCUGAGAACAGAAGCGGAGCAGCACCCGUGC
Molecule: long non-coding RNA, 311 nt
Organism: Ictalurus punctatus (channel catfish)
Lineage: Eukaryota; Metazoa; Chordata; Actinopteri; Siluriformes; Ictaluridae
Exons: 3
Source: RefSeq, a predicted model, not a curated record